RNAcentral lists this ribosomal RNA (253 nucleotides) under uncultured bacterium. Its description in RNAcentral is "partial 16S ribosomal RNA". It matches the Rfam family "Bacterial small subunit ribosomal RNA", at positions 524 to 776 of the family's 1533-position model. The record is from RNAcentral.
UACGUAGGGUGCAAGCGUUGUCCGGAAUUAUUGGGCGUAAAGAGCUCGUAGGCGGUUUGUCGCGUCUGCUGUGAAAACUCAGGGCUUAACUCUGAGCUUGCAGUGGGUACGGGCAGACUAGAGUGCGGUAGGGGAGACUGGAAUUCCUGGUGUAGCGGUGAAAUGCGCAGAUAUCAGGAGGAACACCGGUGGCGAAGGCGGGUCUCUGGGCCAACACUGACGCUCAUGCACGAAAGCGUGGGGAGCAAACAGG